This 70-nucleotide transfer RNA is filed under the name Cavia porcellus (domestic guinea pig). It matches the Rfam family "tRNA". Rfam says of the family: Transfer RNA (tRNA) molecules are approximately 80 nucleotides in length. Their secondary structure includes four short double-helical elements and three loops (D, anti-codon, and T loops). Lineage: Eukaryota; Metazoa; Chordata; Mammalia; Rodentia; Caviidae. The record is from Rfam by way of RNAcentral.
GGAUUUUUAGCUCAGCGGUGUAAGUGCCCGCCUGGCAAGCGGGAGGUCUUGAGUUCCAUCCUCAGUACCA